CCUGGUGGCUCAGAGGGUAAAGCGUCUGCCUGCAAUGUAGGAGACCUGGGUUCAGUCCCUAGGCCAGGA
RNAcentral lists this transfer RNA (69 nucleotides) under Ovis aries (sheep). It matches the Rfam family "tRNA". From Rfam's summary of the family: Transfer RNA (tRNA) molecules are approximately 80 nucleotides in length. Their secondary structure includes four short double-helical elements and three loops (D, anti-codon, and T loops). The record is from Rfam by way of RNAcentral. Lineage: Eukaryota; Metazoa; Chordata; Mammalia; Artiodactyla; Bovidae.